RNAcentral lists this ribosomal RNA (511 nucleotides) under Platambus semivittatus. Its description in RNAcentral is "partial 16S ribosomal RNA". It matches the Rfam family "Bacterial large subunit ribosomal RNA", at positions 1825 to 2597 of the family's 2925-position model. Lineage: Eukaryota; Metazoa; Arthropoda; Insecta; Coleoptera; Dytiscidae. The record is from RNAcentral.
GUCCUUUAGAAAUUAAUUUAAGGUCUAGCCUGCCCACUGAAAUUAUUUAAAGGGCCGCAGUAAUUUGACUGUGCAAAGGUAGCAUAAUCAUUAGUUUUUUAAUUGAAAGCUUGUAUGAAGGGUUGGACGAGGUAAAUUCUGUCUCUAUUUAAUUUAUUUUAGAAUUUAAUUUUUAAGUUAAAAAGCUUAAAUUUAUUUAAAAGACGAGAAGACCCUAUAGAUCUUUAUAUUACAAUUAUUAAUUUUAAUUAAGAUUAUUUAAUUUUUUAAUAUUUAUAAUAUUUUAUUGGGGUAAUAAAAAGAUUUAUUAAAUUCUUUUUUUAUUUAAACAUUGAUAAAUGAUUAAAUGAUCCAAUUUUAUUGAUUAUAAGAUUAAGUUACCUUAGGGAUAACAGCGUAAUUUUUUUAGAGAGUUCAUAUCGAUAAAAAAGUUUGCGACCUCGAUGUUGGAUUAAAAAUUAUCCUAGGUGCAGAAGUUUAGGAUUUUGGUCUGUUCGACCAUUAAAUUUUU